This 215-nucleotide long non-coding RNA is filed under the name Gallus gallus (chicken). The record is from RNAcentral. Lineage: Eukaryota; Metazoa; Chordata; Aves; Galliformes; Phasianidae.
GGUCGCCAUGCGGAGGAUUUCCACGCCGGAGCGAUAGUAGCGUCGUGGUGGGACAUCCUCAUUCACCUCCACAGCACUCCCCAUCUGGAUCAGGCUUCGGACACGCUCCUCUGGUGGGAGGCUGACAUCAGCAUGCUUGGGCAUAACGAGGCACAUCAAACCUGCCGCAGCGCUGAGCAGCUCUGCGCCGGGUGGACAGCCGCAGCCUGCACUCA